AACGAACGCUGGCGGCAUGCCUAACACAUGCAAGUCGAACGAGACCUUCGGGUCUAGUGGCGAACGGGUGCGUAACGCGUGGGAACCUGCCCUUAGGUUCGGAAUAACUCCCCGAAAGGGGUGCUAAUACCGGAUAAUGUCUUCGGACCAAAGAUUUAUCGCCUUUGGAUGGGCCCGCGUUGGAUUAGCUAGUUGGUAGGGUAAAAGCCUACCAAGGCGACGAUCCAUAGCUGGUCUGAGAGGAUGAUCAGCCACACUGGGACUGAGACACGGCCCAGACUCCUACGGGAGGCAGCAGUGGGGAAUAUUGGACAAUGGGCGAAAGCCUGAUCCAGCAAUGCCGCGUGAGUGAUGAAGGCCUUAGGGUUGUAAAGCUCUUUUACCCGGGAUGAUAAUGACAGUACCGGGAGAAUAAGCGCCGGCUAACUCCGUG
RNAcentral lists this ribosomal RNA (433 nucleotides) under uncultured bacterium. Its description in RNAcentral is "partial 16S ribosomal RNA". It matches the Rfam family "Bacterial small subunit ribosomal RNA", at positions 29 to 507 of the family's 1533-position model. The record is from RNAcentral.